RNAcentral lists this unclassified non-coding RNA (246 nucleotides) under uncultured Sordariales. RNAcentral describes it as "sequence contains ITS2". The stretch from base 1 to 52 matches the Rfam family "5.8S ribosomal RNA", at positions 103 to 154 of the family's 154-position model. Lineage: Eukaryota; Fungi; Ascomycota; Sordariomycetes; Sordariales. The record is from RNAcentral. RNAcentral also lists the same sequence under 1 other name.
AACGCACAUUGCGCCCGCCAGUAUUCUGGCGGGCAUGCCUGUUCGAGCGUCAUUUCAACCAUCAAGCCCUGCUUGUGUUGGGGUCCUGCGGCUGCCCGCAGGCCCUGAAAACCAGUGGCGGGCUCGCUAGUCACACCGAGCGCAGUAGCACAUCUCGCUUUGGUCGUGCGGCGGGUUCUUGCCGUAAAACACCCCCCUUUUAUCAAGGUUGACCUCGGAUCAGGUAGGAAUACCCGCUGAACUUAA